This 254-nucleotide ribosomal RNA is filed under the name uncultured prokaryote. Its description in RNAcentral is "partial 16S ribosomal RNA". It matches the Rfam family "Bacterial small subunit ribosomal RNA", at positions 525 to 777 of the family's 1533-position model. The record is from RNAcentral.
ACAGGGGGAGCAAGCGUUAUCCGGAAUGAUUGGGCGUAAAGCGUUUGUAGGUGGCUUGUAAAGUCUACUGUUAAAUAUCUGGGCUCAACCCCGAAAAGGCAGUGGAGGACUCACAAGCUUGAGUGUGGUAGAGGUAGAGGGAAUUCCAUGUGGAGCGGUGAACUGCGUAGAGAUAUGGAAGAACACCAGCGGCGAAGGCGCUCUACUGGGCCAAGACUGACACUGAGAAACGAAAGCUAGGGGAGCGAAUAGGA